Molecule: ribosomal RNA, 497 nt
Filed under: uncultured bacterium
Lineage: Bacteria
Description: partial 16S ribosomal RNA
Rfam family: Bacterial small subunit ribosomal RNA
Source: RNAcentral
GAUGAACGCUGGCGGCGUGCCUAAUACAUGCAAGUCGAGCGAACAGACGAGGAGCUUGCUCCUCUGACGUUAGCGGCGGACGGGUGAGUAACACGUGGAUAACCUACCUAUAAGACUGGGAUAACUUCGGGAAACCGGAGCUAAUACCGGAUAAUAUAUUGAACCGCAUGGUUCAAUAGUGAAAGACGGUUUUGCUGUCACUUAUAGAUGGAUCCGCGCCGCAUUAGCUAGUUGGUAAGGUAACGGCUUACCAAGGCGACGAUGCGUAGCCGACCUGAGAGGGUGAUCGGCCACACUGGAACUGAGACACGGUCCAGACUCCUACGGGAGGCAGCAGUACGGAAUCUUCCGCAAUGGGCGAAAGCCUGACGGAGCAACGCCGCGUGAGUGAUGAAGGUCUUCGGAUCGUAAAACUCUGUUAUUAGGGAAGAACAAAUGUGUAAGUAACUAUGCACGUCUUGACGGUACCUAAUCAGAAAGCCACGGCUAACUACGUG